GGGGCAAGGGUGGGGGAGAGGAGAAGCAGGGGGUGGGGCCCCAGGGUGAUGGGGAAGCAGUGUGGGGGACCCAAAAGUUCUUUGUGCCAAGGGCCCCAAUAAAUCUUAAUUCACCUCUGCCGCCCCUGUGUGACACCCGCUGGGGGAGGGGGUGGCCAGGAUGCUGGGAUCUUCCCCCAAGCAGGGCUGGUCUGUCUAGGAUCUGACCCCAGAUCCCCCCCAGGCAGAACCCCGCCCCAGGCACCUGACUCCUUGACUCUUCUCUACAGGUUUGUCCACCCGGAUGAGAUAGGCGGGCCCAGAGGCUGGUCUCCCCAAGGCGCAGACCCCUCCCUGGAUAUGAAGAGUGACCCCCUUCUUCCCCCGUCCCAUGCUGCAUAGCCGUAGCACUUAGCCUAGACCAGGCCCCCACGCUCUGAUCGCAGCCUGCAGAAUCUGAUCCAGCCAGCAGGGGGCAAUAGGGACACACACACCCAACAGGUCUGAUCUCCUCCAACAGGGGGCAGUAGGGACACACACACACACACACACACACACACACACACACACACACACACGAGGACAUACACACACGCGCA
This is a non-coding RNA of Chrysemys picta bellii (western painted turtle), 578 nucleotides long. Lineage: Eukaryota; Metazoa; Chordata; Testudines; Emydidae. The record is from RefSeq and is a predicted model, not a curated record.